This 1365-nucleotide long non-coding RNA is filed under the name Lactuca sativa (garden lettuce). Its description in RNAcentral is "long non-coding RNA (LSAT_LNC006455)". The record is from RNAcentral. Lineage: Eukaryota; Viridiplantae; Streptophyta; Magnoliopsida; Asterales; Asteraceae.
AAACGUAUAUCCAAUGGAUUUUGAUAGAUGUCAAUCAAAACUUAACGUAAUUUUUGAUAUUCAAACAAAUAUUAAUAUUCAUUUUAAAGAAUCAAUAAAAAAAGUCUUUGUAAAAUCAUAAAUGCUAUUAAUAAUUUAUUUAUUUUAUAAAUAUUUUUCCCGUGGUUUCCACGGGUUGUAAGCUAGUAAACUAAGCCUCAAACUCUUCCCAUCUCCAUCGUCGGUAACUCAAUCCACAGGAAGUUCACUCGUCUCACUAGAAUUCAAUGCUGAAAUUUUUUGAGGAAUCAGAAAAGAUAAUCACGCAAUUGAGUUUUUUUGGGGGGGAGGGGGAUUUAAACUCCUCAUUCGAUUCAAUCAUGUAUGGGAUUCAAGAAGUUGAUAUUGUUUUCUAUUGUUGGUUGGAAACGCUUCUUCUCCAUCUAACAUCAAUAAUCCAUUACAGUUAUGUGUCCAGAUUUAUGCACUCCCGGAUCUUGUGGCCCAAAGAACUUCACUUUCAACACGAGUCUUCUUCACGAACCAUAUUUAAUGGUUUAAAUAUUUGUGCUCCAUGUGGAUUCAACUACUGAAAUGGCUUUUUCACCUCGAGUUCAUGUACUCAAAACAGCGAUAGAUUCUGCACUUCAUGUUCUUUUCGUUAAAAUAUUUCUUGUUGGAAAUUUGUAACCUGAAGCCACAACUUUAACAUCAACGGUUACAUCAAUAACACAAAAUUGAUAAUCAUAAUCGGUUCAUCCAUUUUUGGAUUCUUGUUAAUUUUAAUCCACUUAUGUAUAGUUCUCUGUUUCCUCCUCAAAAAGGGUAAACAAAAGAAGAAAUUUCAGGAGAGAAAAAAACCAACGCACCGGUAUCAUGCCAUGGUAGGUCUUCGUCGCACCAUGUCCAGGUCUCACUCAAGUUUUCUGACUUUCAAAGCUCAAAGACACCAAACGACCAUCUUCAGGUGGCUUCUCACCGUUGAACUGACAGCUUCAGUUAAAAAUCGCGAUGGAAGUUGUAAAAGCUCUUGCAUUUCUCCACACUUAAAUCAACCCUCUGCUCAUCAUGAUGUGAAAAGUUCAAAUAUUCUCAUAGAUUCCUAUUGGGGUUGUGUAGCUAGGUUCAUUCGAACAAGAUGAUUGAAAACAUGAAGACUGCUUUAAUGUGGGAGGCUUGGAACACAGAAAUGAUUAGGAUUUAGUUAAAUCCGAAAAAAAAUGAGAGGAGUUGUGAGUAAAUAGUUACUGUAGCAGACUUGGAUUUUGGAGGUUAGACAGUAAGAGAUUGGUGCCGGUUCUUUGGUGGGGAGAAUUUCCGAUGAACACAGUCGGAAGAAAGAAGAAACAGGAACAGUUGUCUUGGGAAGACAAAAGGAUAACAAAG